Molecule: ribosomal RNA, 300 nt
Filed under: uncultured Lactobacillus sp.
Lineage: Bacteria; Bacillati; Bacillota; Bacilli; Lactobacillales; Lactobacillaceae
Description: bacterial SSU rRNA
Rfam family: Bacterial small subunit ribosomal RNA
Source: RNAcentral
GCUAACUUCGGGCCGGGGGGCUGGGGAAUACGUAGGUGGGAAGCGUGUGCCGGAAUCAGUGGGCGUAAAGCGCGGGCAGGCGGUGCCUUAAGUCUGAUGUGAAAGCCCACGGCUCAACCGUGGAGGGUCAUUGGAAACUGGGGGACUUGAGUGCAGAAGAGGAAAGCGGAAUUCCAAGUGUAGCGGUGAAAUGCGUAGAGAUUUGGAGGAACACCAGUGGCGAAGGCGGCUUUCUGGUCUGUAACUGACGCUGAGGCGCGAAAGCGUGGGGAGCAAACAGGAUUAGAUACCCGAGUAGUC